UCAACCAGCAGCUACCUAGAGGAAGGCAGAAUGGUUUCUCAAAAAGUACCAUUGCGAUUGCCUGCUCUGACCUUCUUCACCGCAAACACAGCUCAACACAACCCCUUAUUUCUAUAUUGAUUUCAUACUAACUGGCCGUGCUCUACCAGAAGAACUGCAAGCUCUCCUUUUACAACAGAACAGCACCAAGGCUUUUUCUUCCCCUCCGGACUGGCAGCCAGCAGCAGGCCGGCCAGCACCCCACCCGGCAGCAGGUGCAACUUGUGGCCGUUUGAUGGACACCCAAAGCCAGGAGGCCAUGAGCAGGGGCCAGGACUGCAGGGGCCAGGAUGUGAAGAGAGUGUGGGGGUACCAGCAAGGGAGGAGAGGCUGGUUCUGGUGACCUUGGAUGAGCCUUGCAAGGUGUGACGCACCUAGGAGAUGACAGGACCAUGAUGUGAAUGUCCACAUGUGUUUCAACAUUAAAGGGAAAACUUGGCCUGUUUGCCUUCCCCAAGAGGGAAUUAAUGUCUCCAGGAAGAGAAGCAGGUGUCAUGAACUGGAAGGAACAGCUGUGCUAGGACAGAGAUGCCGUGACACCUGUAAUACAGAUCACAGAAUCAUCUAGGUUGCAAGAGACCUCCAAGAUCAGAUGGAGUACCACCAGAACAAAGACGCUGAAUUCCUUAUUUUCUCUCAUUUUUCACUGCAUGGCAAUACUGUUCUUUGCAUGGUACCAUUUAUAGCUGUUGAAGUGAGAAUUAAAUGCUAAUGAAUUAGCCUAACUAUUACUUUACAUGCACUUUUCAUGAGUGCAAAUUAAAAGAUAACGAAGGUGUCAUGGGAAUCUUCGUCAUGAGACUCCUGCUCCUGCUGCAGUUCGAUGUAAUGACAGCCUUCCUGCCACUGACCUUAUGAACCAGAUCCUGCUCCUUUUCUCAUCAUACAUGUUUCCCCCUUUUCUUUUACUUGUUACCUCUUUUACCUCCACUACUCUCUUAGAUCAGAGAUUUGCUAAUUUCAUGCCUGCUCUAUCACUUGUGUAAAAAUACAUUUAAAAAUGCACACAUAUGAAAGUAUGUAUAUGCCAUUAUGUUUUAAAAUCAAAGCAUUGUGCAUCAAGCAGGACAUACAGCAGCCUAUAAAUGCUUAAAUGGAUGAUGCUGGAGCACAUUUCUGCAGUUCCAUGUUUCUUUUGCCAACAGUGAACCUGGUUAGUUUAACCCAGUAUUUUCUUCGUAAACAUUAUAAAAAAGGAGACAAAAUAAAGUCCCUGAGCAAAUUGCAGCUGCCCUUUACAUGAAAAAACAAGGAUUGAGUACUACAUGUUAUUUCAGCCUCUUGAUGAGGCAAGUCAAAACAAGGAGGAAGAGCUAAUAUGGUGGACUACAGCUUUGGAAUCACUUCAGUACAGCUGGGUAGAUUUUAAGGCCAGAAAAAAAAA
Non-coding RNA from Anas platyrhynchos (mallard), 1423 nucleotides. The record is from RefSeq and is a predicted model, not a curated record. NCBI's taxonomy places the organism in Eukaryota, Metazoa, Chordata, Aves, Anseriformes, Anatidae.